CGCAAUGGGCGAAAGCCUGACGGAGCGACGCCGCGUGGUAGAUGAAGUCCUUCGGGACGUAAAUACCUCUUAUGAGGGAGGAAGUUUAUUGACGGUACCUCAUGAAUAAGGGGUUGCUAAACUCGUGCCAGCAGCAGCGGUAAUACGAGUGCCCCAAGCGUUAUCCGGAAUCAUUGGGCGUAAAGGGUGUGUAGGUGGUCAUAUUAGUCUUCUGUUAAAUUCUUCGGCUUAACCGGGGACCUGCGGAGGAAACGGUUUGACUUGAGGGUGCGAGAGGCAUGCGGAACUCUAGGUGUAGGGGUGAAAUCCGUUGAUAUCUAGGGGAACACCAAAAGCGAAGGCAGCAUGCUGGCGCAUUCCUGACUCUGAGACACGAAAGCGU
RNAcentral lists this ribosomal RNA (382 nucleotides) under uncultured organism. RNAcentral's name for it is "bacterial SSU rRNA". It matches the Rfam family "Bacterial small subunit ribosomal RNA", at positions 367 to 762 of the family's 1533-position model. The record is from RNAcentral.